GCCCGCGUAGCUCAGCGGCCAGCGUUUGUCUUUGUCUUUUCUUAUAGCGUAUAUUCUUACCAGCGAAGGCCAAGCGAAAGACGUCGGUUCGAAUCCGACCAGGGGCA
Non-coding RNA from Podospora fimiseda, 107 nucleotides. The record is from the annotation of a GenBank genome assembly. NCBI's taxonomy places the organism in Eukaryota, Fungi, Ascomycota, Sordariomycetes, Sordariales, Podosporaceae.